This 352-nucleotide long non-coding RNA is filed under the name Capsicum annuum. Its description in RNAcentral is "long non-coding RNA (CANN_LNC011611)". Lineage: Eukaryota; Viridiplantae; Streptophyta; Magnoliopsida; Solanales; Solanaceae. The record is from RNAcentral.
CUCACCUUAAGCACUAGGGGUCACAUAAGAGCGGGUAGACUCAAAUCAAGCAGACAAUACACAUCAUGAGAGAAAAGUUGAGCAUACCAAUCACAAUUUUGGGGGGACGCCUCGGAAUCCUGGUGGGUGGCAAGAGGAUACAGAUGAUUUUGACCAGUGUCGGAUCCAGAAGUAGAAGUUGCACCCUUUGGUGUAGGAUUUAAUGAAGCAACAACAUAGAUCUUAUUGCCCCAGAAGCAACCCUGGAAGUACAAUCCCUCUGCAUAUGACCAAUCUAACCUCAUUUAAAGCACUUGUUUCUCCCCUCUUCACAAAUUCCAUGGUGCACCUAACCCUAAAAUCUACCUGGGGG